CUUUACCUUAUUUUGCUUUGUCCAGGUUUAUCCCAUGCUUAAAUAAAAUGCUGAUCCAUGUAAAGUUUGGUGAAGUUGGAGGAAGUCGAAGGGCCGUUUGACUUUAAUCAGUUUCAUGAGAAAGUCAUUGAACAAUUUUGCCUGCCACCUGAUACCAAAGUUACAUACAAAGAUACAACAGAUACUGAAGUUGACGAAGAAAUAUUCAGUGACCUCCUUAGACAAGGCAAUGUGGUACAGACAGUUUUCUGCUAUGAUGAGUUCUCAGAAUGGUCGUCUGCUUCUGACUCAAGCUUCAACUCAAAUGCAUCAACAUCAACAAUACUAAUGGAUGAGAUGCCACGCAAGAAGCAAAGAACUGAGAAUCCUGAGUGUCUGCUAAAAAUCUGGUUGAAGGUGUCCUACAAAGCAAGUCUGGUGGUGAAGAAAUUCUGCAGGAGGAUGAAACUACAGAAACCCUAACUGAU
Long non-coding RNA from Poeciliopsis prolifica (blackstripe livebearer), 467 nucleotides. RefSeq lists it as uncharacterized. NCBI's taxonomy places the organism in Eukaryota, Metazoa, Chordata, Actinopteri, Cyprinodontiformes, Poeciliidae. The record is from RefSeq and is a predicted model, not a curated record. The transcript has 4 exons.